AACGAACGCUGGCGGCGCGCUUAACACAUGCAAGUCGAACGAGAAGGCGUAGCAAUACGCUUGUACAGUGGCGAACGGGUGAGUAAUACGUGGGCGACCUACCCUCGAGUGGGGAAUAACCCGCCGAAAGGCGGGCUAAUGCCGCGUACGCUUCCAUCUUUAUGGAGGUGGAAGGAAAGCCGUGCCGUGGGCACGGCGCUCAAGGAUGGGCUCACGUCCUAUCAGCUUGUUGGAGGGUAACGGCCUACCAAGGCUCCGACGGGUAGCUGGUCUGAGAGGACGAUCAGCCACACUGGCACUGCGACACGGGCCAGACUCCUACGGGAGGCAGCAGUGAGGAAUAUUGCGCAAUGGGCGAAAGCCUGACGCAGCGACGCCGCGUGGGGGAUGAAGGUCUUCGGAUUGUAAACCCC
Molecule: ribosomal RNA, 413 nt
Filed under: uncultured bacterium
Lineage: Bacteria
Description: bacterial SSU rRNA
Rfam family: Bacterial small subunit ribosomal RNA
Source: RNAcentral